RNAcentral lists this ribosomal RNA (467 nucleotides) under uncultured bacterium. RNAcentral's name for it is "partial 16S ribosomal RNA". It matches the Rfam family "Bacterial small subunit ribosomal RNA", at positions 28 to 507 of the family's 1533-position model. The record is from RNAcentral.
GACGAACGCUGGCGGCGUGCUUAACACAUGCAAGUCGAACGGAAAGGCCUCUUUCGGGGGGUACUCGAGUGGCGAACGGGUGAGUAACACGUGAGUAACCUGCCCUUGACUUUGGGAUAACUUCAGGAAACUGGGGCUAAUACCGGAUAGGAGCUCCUGCUGCAUGGUGGGGGUUGGAAAGUUUCGGCGGUUGGGGAUGGACUCGCGGCUUAUCAGCUUGUUGGUGGGGUAGUGGCUUACCAAGGCUUUGACGGGUAGCCGGCCUGAGAGGGUGACCGGCCACAUUGGGACUGAGAUACGGCCCAGACUCCUACGGGAGGCAGCAGUGGGGAAUAUUGCACAAUGGGUGGAAGCCUGAUGCAGCAACGCCGUGUGCGGGAUGACGGCCUUCGGGUUGUAAAGCGCUUUCGCUCAUGACGAAGCUUUGUGUGACGGUAGUGGGUAAAGAAGCACCGGCUAACUACGUG